CCUACGGGAGGCUGCAGUGAGGAAUAUUGGUCAAUGGGCGCGAGCCUGAACCAGCCAAGUAGCGUGAAGGAUGACUGCCCUACGGGUUGUAAACUUCUUUUAUAAAGGAAUAAAGUGAGGCACGUGUGCCUUUUUGUAUGUACUUUAUGAAUAAGGCUCGGCUAACUCCGUGCCAGCAGCCGCGGUAAUACGGAGGAUCCGAGCGUUAUCCGGAUUUAUUGGGUUUAAAGGGAGCGUAGAUGGGUUGUUAAGUCAGUUGUGAAAGUUUGCGGCUCAACCGUAAAAUUGCAAUUGAUACUGGCAGGCUUGAGUACAGUUGAGGUAGGCGGAAUUCGUGGUGUAGCGGUGAAAUGCUUAGAUAUCACGAAGAACACCGAUGGCGAAGGCAGCUUACUAAACUGCCACUGACAUUGAGGCUCGAAAGUGUGGGUAUCAAACAGGAUUAGAUACCCGGGUAGUC
Molecule: ribosomal RNA, 460 nt
Filed under: uncultured bacterium
Lineage: Bacteria
Description: partial 16S ribosomal RNA
Rfam family: Bacterial small subunit ribosomal RNA
Source: RNAcentral